Molecule: ribosomal RNA, 501 nt
Filed under: uncultured bacterium
Lineage: Bacteria
Description: partial 16S ribosomal RNA
Rfam family: Bacterial small subunit ribosomal RNA
Source: RNAcentral
AUUGAACGCUGGCGGCAGGCUUAACACAUGCAAGUCGAGCGGGGGAAGGUAGCUUGCUACCGGACCUAGCGGCGGACGGGUGAGUAAUGCUUAGGAAUCUGCCUAUUAGUGGGGGACAACAUCUCGAAAGGGAUGCUAAUACCGCAUACGUCCUACGGGAGAAAGCAGGGGAUCUUCGGACCUUGCGCUAAUAGAUGAGCCUAAGGCAGAUUAGCUAGUUGGUGGGGUAAAGGCCUACCAAGGCGACGAUCUGUAGCGGGUCUGAGAGGGUGAUCCGCCACACUGGGACUGAUACACGGCCCAGACUCCUACGGGAGGCAGCAGUGGGGAAUAUUGGACAAUGGGGGGAACCCUGAUCCAGCCAUGCCGCGUGUGUGAAGAAGGCCUUAUGGUUGUAAAGCACUUUAAGCGAGGAGGAGGCUACUUUAGUUAAUACCUAGAGAUAGUGGACGUUACUCGCAGAAUAAGCACCGGCUAACUCUGUGCCAGCCGCCGCCGUAA